RNAcentral lists this ribosomal RNA (492 nucleotides) under uncultured bacterium. RNAcentral describes it as "partial 16S ribosomal RNA". It matches the Rfam family "Bacterial small subunit ribosomal RNA", at positions 29 to 507 of the family's 1533-position model. The record is from RNAcentral.
AGUGAACGCUGGCGGUAGGCCUAACACAUGCAAGUCGAACGGCAGCACAGUAAGAGCUUGCUCGUACGGGUGGCGAGUGGCGGACGGGUGAGGAAUACAGCGGAAUCUACUUUUUCGUGGGGGAUAACGUAGGGAAACUUACGCUAAUACCGCAUACGACCUACGGGUGAAAGCAGGGGAUCUUCGGACCUUGCGCGAUUGAAUGAGCCGAUGUCGGAUUAGCUAGUUGGAGGGGUAAAGGCCCACCAAGGCGACGAUGCGUAGCUGGUCUGAGAGGAUGAUCGGCCACACUGGAACUGAGACACGGUCGAGACUCCUACGGGAGGCAGCAGUGGGGAAUAUUGGACAAUGGGCGCAAGCCUGAUGCAGCCAUACCGCGUGGGUGAAGAUGGCCUUCGGGUUGUAAAGCCCUUUUGUUGGGAAAGAAAAGCAGCAGGUUAAUACCCCGCUGUUCUGACGGUACCCAAAGAAUAAGCACCGGCUAACUUCGUG